GCAGCAGUAGGGAAUCUUCCACAAUGGACGAAAGUCUGAUGGAGCAACGCCGCGUGAAUGAAGAAGGCCUUCGGGUCGUAAAAUUCUGUUGUCAGAGAAGAAUGUGCGUGAGAGUAACUGUUCACGUAUUGACGGUAUCUGACCAGAAAGCCACGGCUAACUACGUGCCAGCAGCCGCGGUAAUACGUAGGUGGCGAGCGUUGUCCGGAUUUAUUGGGCGUAAAGGGAACGCAGGCGGUCUUUUAAGUCUGAUGUGAAAGCCUUCGGCUUAACCGAAGUAGUGCAUUGGAAACUGGAAGACUUGAAUGCAGAAGAGGAGAGUGGAACUCCAUGUGUAGCGGUGAAAUGC
Molecule: ribosomal RNA, 349 nt
Filed under: uncultured Lactobacillus sp.
Lineage: Bacteria; Bacillati; Bacillota; Bacilli; Lactobacillales; Lactobacillaceae
Description: bacterial SSU rRNA
Rfam family: Bacterial small subunit ribosomal RNA
Source: RNAcentral